AUUUUUACCAUGGACUCCUUGACCCACUCAGUUUCUUAAAAAGGACUCCAAACUGCUUGCCCACUGCACAUCGCCCCCCUUUCAGCGGAAGUAGCAAGAACGGUCAUUGCCCUUUUCCCUUACGGCAGUUGGAGGUCCCUAAUAUUAGAGGAAAAAUUAUGGUCGAUAUAGAUGUUCGCCAAUAUGUCUAGCUCAGAAAGAUGUACCUGGAAAACUACUCCCAAGAUCACCCUGGGUGAUCUCCCAGAAAGAGACACUUGCUUCCACAACCCAACUUAUAAGUGGAACAACACCCUGUUCACCAAAAAUUGUGCUUCCUGGAUCCCACUUUGAACUCCUUGACUAAAUCUCCAAACUGUCAAUAACUCUGAACUAUGUAACCUAUUAUUUUGAUGGAGUAAAAGGAAAAGAACACCUGGACUUAUUAAAAGGCCAGGGCCCACUGAUUUAUCAACAUAGACUGGCUACCCCCAUUUUAGUUCCCCUCCUGGCUGGUAUCUACUGCUUUGGGAACUACAACUCUUAUCACAGGCCCUAAAAAUUUUA
RNAcentral lists this long non-coding RNA (546 nucleotides) under Marmota monax (woodchuck). The record is from RNAcentral. Lineage: Eukaryota; Metazoa; Chordata; Mammalia; Rodentia; Sciuridae.